RNAcentral lists this ribosomal RNA (506 nucleotides) under uncultured bacterium. RNAcentral describes it as "partial 16S ribosomal RNA". It matches the Rfam family "Bacterial small subunit ribosomal RNA", at positions 28 to 507 of the family's 1533-position model. The record is from RNAcentral.
GACGAACGCUGGCGGCGUGCCUAAUACAUGCAAGUCGAACGCAUUUUCUUUCACCGUAGCUUGCUACACCGAAAGAAAAUGAGUGGCGAACGGGUGAGUACACGUGGGUAACCUGCCCAUCAGCGGGGGAUAACACUUGGAAACAGGUGCUAAUACCGCAUAAUUCCAUUUACCGCAUGGUAAAUGGAUGAAAGGCGCUUUUGCGUCACUGAUGGAUGGACCCGCGGUGCAUUAGCUAGUUGGUGGGGUAACGGCCUACCAAGGCUGCGAUGCAUAGCCGGCCUGAGAGGGUGAUCGGCCACACUGGGACUGAGACACGGCCCAGACUCCUACGGGAGGCAGCAGUAGGGAAUCUUCGGCAAUGGACGCAAGUCUGACCGAGCAACGCCGCGUGAGUGAAGAAGGUUUUCGGAUCGUAAAACUCUGUUGUUAGAGAAGAACAAGGAUGAGAGUGGAAAGUUCAUCCCUUGACGGUAUCUAACCAGAAAGCCACGGCUAACUACGUG